UUAUCUGGUUCUUGGAUGGUUCAAUCUUGCUUUUUUUCUUCACACUCCUCUGACACCUCAAUCCAUCCCCAUUUUCUAUUAGCCAAACGUUUUCCCUCUUCUUCUGUCAACUCUGCCUUAAAUCCCUAUCUUUUUCUUCCUUGCUAGCACUAACAGCCCACACACGCUCAUGCAGAGUCACCUGAGCUGUUGUCCCAUGUGGUUUUCCUGGAGUGCAUGUUCUUCGCACCAGGAGUUUGUGGUUCUCCCACAGCGCGCACCCCACAGAUACAAACACACAAGGCUCUUUUGAAGAGCAGCAGUCGCUGGACUUAUUGCCCUGAUUUGAGGUUUUAAUGAGCAGACUCGAUAAAUUAAAGCAAGAGCAAAAGCGAAAGUUUAUUGUGCUCUAUGGAAAAGUGUCAAUCUAAAGGCGGAUCGUCAUUUCCUUCAUUCGCUCUUCCCAGUGUGGCUCAGUCGAUGUAGUGAGGCUUUAGAACGGUCUUACCCAGCCAGCGAUGGAUUUCCUCCAAGGCAGAGGAUGCCUACAGAGCUCAUCAAAGAAAAGAAAAAGAAGCCUUUGCAGCAUUUGAAGACAUCUGAAUACACUCUACAAUUUCCUGGACUUUAUGCUACCUCUUGUCAAGUGUUACGUUAUUAUUUUCAGCCCUUGGAAAACAGGACUGCACUAUAGAUGAUGACUGUGGGAUUUCUGCUACCUUGGAGCAAAUAUGAUUUUUAUGCUUUCCCUCCUAUUAAAGUACUUUAGAAAAUGAAGCACACAAAAAGCAAGAUCUUGCUCAUUAUUAGUGUUGAGAGCCACCUAUCCUUGUACUUCAAGAACAUGGUUUAGAACGGGGAUCUGCUACUGCCUCUACCCAGGCAGCUUUCUCAUUUUCCAGAAUGAUACGCUGGUGAGACAAACACAUAGAGCUAUGUUUUCCUCACAGGAGUCCAGAAAUUGCU
Molecule: long non-coding RNA, 945 nt
Organism: Chroicocephalus ridibundus (black-headed gull)
Lineage: Eukaryota; Metazoa; Chordata; Aves; Charadriiformes; Laridae
Exons: 3
Source: RefSeq, a predicted model, not a curated record